CAUAGGUUAAUGAGGCGAACCGGGGGAACUGAAACAUCUAAGUACCCCGAGGAAAAGAAAUCAACCGAGAUUCCCCCAGUAGCGGCGAGCGAACGGGGAGCAGCCCAGAGCCUGAAUCAGUGUGUGUGUUAGUGGAAGCGUCUGGAAAGGCGCGCGAUACAGGGUGACAGCCCCGUACACAAAAAUGCACAUGCUGUGAGCUCGAUGAGUAGGGCGGGACACGUGGUAUCCUGUCUGAAUAUGGGGGGACCAUCCUCCAAGGCUAAAUACUCCUGACUGACCGAUAGUGAACCAGUACCGUGAGGGAAAGGCGAAAAGAACCCCGGCGAGGGGAGUGAAAAAGAACCUGAAACCGUGUACGUACAAGCAGUGGGAGCACGCUUAGGCGUGUGACUGCGUACCUUUUGUAUAAUGGGUCAGCGACUUAUAUUCUGUAGCAAGGUUAACCGAAUAGGGGAGCCGAAGGGAAACCGAGUCUUAACUGGGCGUUAAGUUGCAGGGUAUAGACCCGAAACCCGGUGAUCUAGCCAUGGGCAGGUUGAAGGUUGGGUAACACUAACUGGAGGACCGAACCGACUAAUGUUGAAAAAUUAGCGGAUGACUUGUGGCUGGGGGUGAAAGGCCAAUCAAACCGGGAGAUAGCUGGUUCUCCCCGAAAGCUAUUUAGGUAGCGCCUCGUGAAUUCAUCUCCGGGGGUAGAGCACUGUUUCGGCAAGGGGGUCAUCCCGACUUACCAACCCGAUGCAAACUGCGAAUACCGGAGAAUGUUAUCACGGGAGACACACGGCGGGUGCUAACGUCCGUCGUGAAGAGGGAAACAACCCAGACCGCCAGCUAAGGUCCCAAAGUCAUGGUUAAGUGGGAAACGAUGUGGGAAGGCCCAGACAGCCAGGAUGUUGGCUUAGAAGCAGCCAUCAUUUAAAGAAAGCGUAAUAGCUCACUGGUCGAGUCGGCCUGCGCGGAAGAUGUAACGGGGCUAAACCAUGCACCGAAGCUGCGGCAGCGACGCUUAUGCGUUGUUGGGUAGGGGAGCGUUCUGUAAGCCUGUGAAGGUGUGCUGUGAGGCAUGCUGGAGGUAUCAGAAGUGCGAAUGCUGACAUAAGUAACGAUAAAGCGGGUGAAAAGCCCGCUCGCCGGAAGACCAAGGGUUCCUGUCCAACGUUAAUCGGGGCAGGGUGAGUCGACCCCUAAGGCGAGGCCGAAAGGCGUAGUCGAUGGGAAACAGGUUAAUAUUCCUGUACUUGGUGUUACUGCGAAGGGGGGACGGAGAAGGCUAUGUUGGCCGGGCGACGGUUGUCCCGGUUUAAGCGUGUAGGCUGGUUUUCCAGGCAAAUCCGGAAAAUCAAGGCUGAGGCGUGAUGACGAGGCACUACGGUGCUGAAGCAACAAAUGCCCUGCUUCCAGGAAAAGCCUCUAAGCAUCAGGUAACAUCAAAUCGUACCCCAAACCGACACAGGUGGUCAGGUAGAGAAUACCAAGGCGCUUGAGAGAACUCGGGUGAAGGAACUAGGCAAAAUGGUGCCGUAACUUCGGGAGAAGGCACGC
This 1545-nucleotide ribosomal RNA is filed under the name Escherichia coli. RNAcentral describes it as "partial 23S ribosomal RNA". It matches the Rfam family "Bacterial large subunit ribosomal RNA", at positions 165 to 1751 of the family's 2925-position model. The record is from RNAcentral. Lineage: Bacteria; Pseudomonadati; Pseudomonadota; Gammaproteobacteria; Enterobacterales; Enterobacteriaceae.